Molecule: ribosomal RNA, 464 nt
Filed under: uncultured bacterium
Lineage: Bacteria
Description: partial 16S ribosomal RNA
Rfam family: Bacterial small subunit ribosomal RNA
Source: RNAcentral
ACGCACGCUGGCGGCGUGCUUAACACAUGCCAGUCGAACGGAAAGGCCCUGCUUGCAGGGUACUCGAGUGGCGAACGGGUGAGUAACACGUGGGUGAUCUGCCCUGCACUUCGGGAUAAGCCUGGGAAACUGGGUCUAAUACCGGAUAGGAGCCAUUUUUAGUGUGAUGGUUGGAAAGUUUUUUCGGUGUAGGAUGAGCUCGCGGCCUAUCAGCUUGUUGGUGGGGUAAUGGCCUACCAAGGCGGCGACGGGUAGCCGGCCUGAGAGGGUGGACGGCCACAUUGGGACUGAGAUACGGCCCAGACUCCUACGGGAGGCAGCGGUGGGGAAUAUUGCACAAUGGGCGCAAGCCUGAUGCAGCGACGCCGCGUGGGGGAUGACGGCCUUCGGGUUGUAAACUCCUUUCGCUAGGGACGAAGCUUUUUGUGACGGUACCUAGAUAAGAAGCACCGGCUAACUACGUG